UGUAAUAGGGUGUGGUUCGUA
Molecule: non-coding RNA, 21 nt
Filed under: Arabidopsis thaliana (thale cress)
Lineage: Eukaryota; Viridiplantae; Streptophyta; Magnoliopsida; Brassicales; Brassicaceae
Source: RNAcentral